Molecule: long non-coding RNA, 1579 nt
Organism: Oncorhynchus kisutch (coho salmon)
Lineage: Eukaryota; Metazoa; Chordata; Actinopteri; Salmoniformes; Salmonidae
Source: Ensembl
GGACUGAAUGGCAGUCCUUUUUGUUUCCUCUCUUGGAACGCUAACAGAAGAAAGGUAAAGAAAAUGGUACAGAGAAUAAAUAAAUAAAUGGAACACUUCUGAAUCCAAGGCAACAAUUUAGUGAUUAAUAAAACAUAUUUAUCUCAUGUAUUUGUCUUAUCAUAUCAAUAACAUCAAUAACAUCAGCACCUAACUGGAACCAAAAACAAAUGCUAACUCCCUGCUAUACCUUGAAGUUGAUCCUGAGUUUGGUCAUUGAAAAGCAAAGGAAGCUCCUUCUUGCUUUCUGCUCAGCCCCCCUCUCUGUCUCAGCCUGGUCUGAUGGGUUUGUUGCAGCAGAAGCUGGUCUUGACGCCUCCUUGCAUCCCUGUACCAGCUGCUGGGUCAAGGACUUUACCAGGACUCUGUCAAAUGCAGGGUCCUGGGAGGAAAUAGCUGCUUGCAGGGUGUUAUAAGAGCCAAACUCCUCCAUGAGGUUUUUAUGUACACCUCUGAACACCCUUUGGAUGUUCAGGUUCUGGGAAUAUGCCUGUGUCCUGGAGAAUCUAGAUGCAGCACAGAACUCAGACAGGACUUGUCUGAUGAGUUGCUGAGAUGUUGCUGUCACGUCUGCUGCCUGUUGGGAGGGUCCAUCUAGGGUUGAGGGUCUGAUCUCCGAUAGCAACCUUAUCACCAGUAUGGCGACCAAACAGAUGACAUCAUCUUUGCUGGAGUCCAUCAAGUACUGCAGUGGGAAUGCAGAGGCACUGCUGAUGUCCGGGGUGAUUAAGAGCUCCCUCAGAUGGCCAGAGCUACUGGGGAUACACUCCUCCUUCUCUUCAAUGUCAAUCCCAUCUCCCUUUGGUACCAAAGAGGUUCCCUUGCUGGUGAAAGACGGAGUGGAGGAUCGAAAAGAGGCUUUAGCACUCGGUGGUCGACUGCUGUCAGUCAUUGGACUGUUACGAUGCAGGGGUUCAUCUGUGUGUGCCAUCUACAAGUCAGAGUUAUCAAAAGUGGAGAGUAAAUCCUUGGCCGUUGUCAGUUCAUCUGAUGAGUCCCUAGAGGCUUGUUGGUUUGUUGAUAGUGUCCUAUCAAAGCUCGAUGACUAUACUAUUUCCCAGUCACCCUCACCCAAUGAAGACUUGAGCGUGAGUACUCAAUAUUCUCAACUGAGCUCGGAAGAGAGUGUCAGAAUCACAGAGUCCUCUCCUAGUCUGAUUCAGAGCAUUAAGAAGCUCUCUAGCAAUGACUUCCAGACUCAGGCAGAAGAGGCAGUGAGUAAAGUGCUGAUGAGAUCCAGUCAUUCCUUUAUCACACAGAUCAGCCAUACUGGUCUUCAGAAAAGUCUGCAGGCUGGCUUAUCAUCUAGCUCACCAUCAGAGAUCCAUGUCCUUUCAGAAUCCAUGUCCUCCAUGUCCUCUGAGAAUACAGCUUCUGGAUUAGUGGAAACCUUUGUCAAAGGAAUGGCGACUAUUUUCCAGAAAAAUGAGUCCACUGACACUGUGCUACUGGAAAGAAGUGGGAGAGUUUCGCAGUGCUCCCACGGGGACUCCCAACUGGAUGAUACUGAAUUGAGUGUUAAAAUAUCAGAGGAGAAGCU